RNAcentral lists this ribosomal RNA (494 nucleotides) under uncultured bacterium. Its description in RNAcentral is "bacterial SSU rRNA". It matches the Rfam family "Bacterial small subunit ribosomal RNA", at positions 28 to 512 of the family's 1533-position model. The record is from RNAcentral.
GAUGAACGCUAGCUACAGGCUUAACACAUGCAAGUCGAGGGGCAGCACAGAGAUAGCUUGCUAUCUUGGGUGGCGACCGGCGCACGGGUGAGUAACGCGUAUCCAACCUGCCCAUUACCUCUGGGAUAGCCUUGCGAAAGUAAGAUUAAUACCGGAUGUUGUUAAAAACCCGCAUGAGUUUUUAACCAAAGAUUUAUUGGUAAUGGAUGGGGAUGCGUGACAUUAGGUAGUAGGUGAGGUAACGGCUCACCUAGCCGACGAUGUCUAGGGGUUCUGAGAGGAAGGUCCCCCACACUGGAACUGAGACACGGUCCAGACUCCUACGGGAGGCAGCAGUGAGGAAUAUUGGUCAAUGGUCGAGAGACUGAACCAGCCAUGCCGCGUGAAGGAGACGGGCCCCUAUGGGUCUUAAACUCUUUGUAAGGGAGCAAUAAGUCUACGUGUAGGAUGAUGAGAGUACCUUACGAAUAAGCAUCGGCUAACUCCGUGCCAGC